AACGAACGCUGGCGGCGUGCCUAACACAUGCAAGUCGAGCGCGAUUAGUUGGACUGGAGGCUUCGGCCAAAGGGAAGAUUAUGAAAGCGGCGGACGGGUGAGUAACGCGUGAGCAACCUGCCCUGUACAGGGGGAUAGCCACUGGAAACGGUGAUUAAUACCCCAUAACCCCAAAGGACCGCAUGGUCCAAUGGGCAAAGCCACAAGCGGUACAGGAUGGGCUCGCGUCUGAUUAGCUAGUUGGUGAGGUAACGGCUCACCAAGGCGACGAUCAGUAGCCGACCUGAGAGGGUGAACGGCCACACUGGAACUGAGACACGGUCCAGACUCCUACGGGAGGCAGCAGUGGGGAAUAUUGCACAAUGGGCGCAAGCCUGAUGCAGCAACGCCGCGUGAGUGAAGAAGGCCUUCGGGUCGUAAAACUCUGUCCUAAGGGAAGAAGAAGUGACGGUACCUUAGGAGGAAGCCCCGGCUAACUACGUGCCAGCCGCCGCGGUAA
This 499-nucleotide ribosomal RNA is filed under the name uncultured bacterium. Its description in RNAcentral is "partial 16S ribosomal RNA". It matches the Rfam family "Bacterial small subunit ribosomal RNA", at positions 29 to 523 of the family's 1533-position model. The record is from RNAcentral.